AGGCCGUGAUGGGGACACUUGCGUAAUAGCUCCUUGAACCUUUCCCAAGUUUCAUAUAAGGAUUCCCCGUCCUCUUGUGAACAUGUAUUAAUUUCAGCCAUUAACUU
This 107-nucleotide small nucleolar RNA is filed under the name Helianthus annuus (common sunflower). Its description in RNAcentral is "sRNA HanXRQr2_Chr09g0379111". It matches the Rfam family "Plant small nucleolar RNA R71". Rfam says of the family: R71 is a member of the C/D box family of snoRNAs containing the C (UGAUGA) and D (CUGA) box motifs. Multiple nearly identical copies of this snoRNA have been identified in Arabidopsis, and it is thought to function as a 2'-O-ribose methylation guide for 18S ribosomal RNA. Lineage: Eukaryota; Viridiplantae; Streptophyta; Magnoliopsida; Asterales; Asteraceae. The record is from Rfam by way of RNAcentral.